GAUGAACGCUGGCGGCGUGCCUAACACAUGCAAGUCGAGCGAUUCUCUUCGGAGAAGAGCGGCGGACGGGUGAGUAACGCGUGGGUAACCUGCCCUGUACACACGGAUAACAUACCGAAAGGUAUGCUAAUACGAGAUAAUAUGCUUUUAUCGCAUGGUAGAAGUAUCAAAGCUUUUGCGGUACAGGAUGGACCCGCGUCUGAUUAGCUAGUUGGUAAGGUAACGGCUUACCAAUGCGACGAUCGGUAGCCGACCUGAGAGGGUGAUCGGCCACAUUGGAACUGAGACACGGUCCAAACUCCUACGGGAGGCAGCAGUAGGGAAUAUUAGAAAUGGGCGGAAGCCUGAUCUAGCAACACCGCGUGUGCGAUGAAGGCCUUCGGGUCGUAAAGCACUUUUGGUAGGGAAGUAGGAAGGAAGGUACCGUCCAGAAUAAGUCUCGGCGUAACUACGUGCCAGCAGCCGCGGUAAGUCUAGUCUACG
This 483-nucleotide ribosomal RNA is filed under the name uncultured bacterium. RNAcentral's name for it is "bacterial SSU rRNA". It matches the Rfam family "Bacterial small subunit ribosomal RNA", at positions 28 to 536 of the family's 1533-position model. The record is from RNAcentral.